AAGUCGUAACAAGGUUUCCGUAGGUGAACCUGCGGAAGGAUCAUUAACGAAUCAACGGGGGGAGGUUGUUGGAGGGAGGAGUGUGUCAAUAAACCUGUUUGUUGCUCACACUUAUCCAUCCCAUCUCCCCUUUACUACAUAAACCCAAGGGUCUGCUGGAAACAGCGACCUUGGUGGUCUAUUCCUCCGGGUCUAGGCUUUGUUUGGGUGUUGUUGUGUGAAUGGGGGAGAGGUCUUUAAGGUGAUUCAUCUUAAUACACCCGCCCACCACACAUACUUCACCAUACAUAAACACGUUUAUUUUCAUGUUUGACUUACAUAUUAUCAUUAAAAUGAUCAUAUACAACUUUUAACAAUGGAUCUCUUGGCUCUU
This 373-nucleotide unclassified non-coding RNA is filed under the name fungal sp. RNAcentral describes it as "partial internal transcribed spacer region". The stretch from base 1 to 46 matches the Rfam family "Eukaryotic small subunit ribosomal RNA", at positions 1786 to 1831 of the family's 1831-position model. Lineage: Eukaryota; Fungi. The record is from RNAcentral.